AGAAAUCAGUGGACACAUUAAAAAAUAUCCAGUAAUACUGCAGCUGUUCUAAUCCACUCCUACCAACAGUUUUGAAGAGAUGUUGAUAGCAAAUCAAGCUUUAUAACCAUGUGAUCCCAUCUUAUGAUUUCAAUCCUGCCACAUUUUUUCCCUUUAUUUUCCUUGUUCUCCCAUUCUAUGAUUCUAGCCACCAAUAUGUGUAUGUACAUAUUUAUGCAUAUGUACAUAUAUAUGCAUAUGUGUUUAUAU
RNAcentral lists this long non-coding RNA (249 nucleotides) under Pan troglodytes (chimpanzee). RNAcentral's name for it is "long non-coding RNA NONPTRT010140". The record is from RNAcentral. Lineage: Eukaryota; Metazoa; Chordata; Mammalia; Primates; Hominidae.